Long non-coding RNA from Mytilus trossulus (common blue mussel), 541 nucleotides. RefSeq lists it as uncharacterized. The transcript has 2 exons. The record is from RefSeq and is a predicted model, not a curated record. Lineage: Eukaryota; Metazoa; Mollusca; Bivalvia; Mytilida; Mytilidae.
AUAAUGAUAGUAUGUAGUAAAAUCUUAAGUCACAUGACUAUGAUUCACAAAACAUCACAUGAGUUGUGUAUUAGUAAGAAUACAAUGUGUAUUUGUUUUAACGUAAAACUAUAAUACUUUAAGAAAAUCACCGUUAAAGAGCUAUGGGUACAGGCGAAGGAGGCGGGGCUAAAGGUUGCCUGUCAGCUAUCAUAUGGUUUCUUCUUAUAUGGUUUGUGGCGUGGCCAUUAGCAUUUUUACUAGCGUGGUUUUACAUAUUCCUGUUGCCAUUUGGAGCAUGCAUAGACCCUAUAAGAUCAAUUAAUGAACAAUUGGUGCGCAUAUUACAACUACCAUUGACAUGCGCACAGAAUAUGAUAGAUAUGAAACCUAUUUGUUGAUAUUUUACAAUGGAAUAGUGACGAAGAUUUUAUUGUUUGUUAUGUUAUAUGUAAAUAUUUGUUCUUAUAUUUAUAUAGAUAUUUGUUAUACGCAUUAUUAAUGUAUUGCAUGUAUCAUUAUACUUUUAUAAAUUAUCAAAUAAAUAAAUUAUAUUUCUUUA